UAUGGAGACCAGAGAGCCAAUCAGCUGCCUUGGCUGUGGACUGUACUAAAGGCUGCAGAUGGAGGAGGCAGAGCAUGUCUUACAUGCUAAGAUCUCUCUCUCUCUCUCUCUCACACACACACGUGAUUUCAUGUCCUUGUUCUGCACGGUGUCAGUGUGUGCUCCCCCGCAGCAUGUAACAAACCACAUCUUGCUGAUGUAAGUGUGUGAUGCGUGUGUGACAUCACGGGCCAGGAGCGCAGCGCUGUAGCGUUGAGCAGCGUGAAUGAGCAAGUGUACAGCACACGAGUGCACGCAGAGCCGCGGCCAUGGCACACAGACUCAGCAUGAUGUGUGUAAAUGCUUUGCACCAGUACUGCUGUCCCUCGCCGUUGUGCUCUAAGCAGCUAGCUGUACCUGCUCCUCUCUCUGAGUGCAGGGAUGAUAGCGUGCUGCAUCAGUUCUGCUGUCCUCCAUCUGGAAGCAGCAGUCCUUCAAGAUAGCAGGAAUUACAAGGAUCUGUCCUCUCUCACAGAGCUACAUGCAUCCAUCUGUCUGUCCAUCCAUGCAUCUGUCUGAGGGAAUAAUGUGUUUCUCUGAUGGAAUAAACAUCACUGUGUGUGCCGUUGCAUUCACAUGUAGGACAGACGGGAAUCUUUCUGCAGUAGUUCAUUUACAAGAGCAGUCUAUAAACACUGGAAGAACACAACUGUAGUGCUAGAACUUAUGAAUACAGUCGAGUGUUGAACCACAAAUGUGUAUCUCUAUUACAAAGAUACAGAACUGAGUGUAUUUUGCACAAAACAAGUGGAAGAAUACUUCAUUAAGUGCUCGGAGUGAUGCAUGAAAUGGAAAAAGCAAUAUCUGUUUAAGAAUCAGUCACUGUAUUACAGCUGUAUUUGUUUUGCGUGAUAUCAGUAGCUUAUUGUCUUGAGCAUGUAACAAGAUUCAAAUUAAAGGUUUCUUUUUUGGA
Molecule: long non-coding RNA, 952 nt
Organism: Cyprinus carpio (common carp)
Lineage: Eukaryota; Metazoa; Chordata; Actinopteri; Cypriniformes; Cyprinidae
Exons: 3
Source: RefSeq, a predicted model, not a curated record